RNAcentral lists this ribosomal RNA (468 nucleotides) under uncultured bacterium. Its description in RNAcentral is "partial 16S ribosomal RNA". It matches the Rfam family "Bacterial small subunit ribosomal RNA", at positions 28 to 507 of the family's 1533-position model. The record is from RNAcentral.
GACGAACGCUGGCGGCGUGCUUAACACAUGCAAGUCGAACGGAAAGGCCCUGCUUUUGUGGGGUUCUCGAGUGGCGAACGGGUGAGUAACACGUGAGUAACCUGCCCUUGACUUUGGGAUAACUUCAGGAAACUGGGGCUAAUACCGGAUAUGAGCUCCUGCUGCAUGGUGGGGGUUGGAAAGUUUCGGCGGUUGGGGAUGGACUCGCGGCUUAUCAGCUUGUUGGUGGGGUAGUGGCUUACCAAGGCUUUGACGGGUAGCCGGCCUGAGAGGGUGACCGGCCACAUUGGGACUGAGAGACGGACCAGACUCCUACGGGAGGCAGCAGUGGGGAAUAUUGCAGAAUGGGCGGAAGUCUGAGGCAGCAACGCCGCGUGCGGGAUGACGGCCUUCGGGUUGUAAACCGAUUUCGCCUGUGACGAAGCGUGAGUGACGGUAAUGGGUAAAGAAGCAACGGCUAACUACGUG